GUUCGAGCGUCAGUACAACACUCAAGCCUAGCUUGGUCUUGGGCCUCGCCGGAAACGGCGGGCCUUAAAAUCAGUGGCGGCGCGUCGGGCCCUAAGCGUAGUAAUACUCCUCGCUACAGGGACCCGCUGGACGCUGGCCAGGAAACCCCCAACUUUAUAAGUUUGACCUCGGAUCAGGUAGGGAUACCCGCUGAACUUAG
RNAcentral lists this unclassified non-coding RNA (200 nucleotides) under soil metagenome. Its description in RNAcentral is "partial contains internal transcribed spacer 2 and large subunit ribosomal RNA". The record is from RNAcentral.